CCUACGGGAGGCAGCAGUAGGGAAUUUUGCGCAAUGGGCGAAAGCCUGACGCAGCAACGCCGCGUGAUCGAGACGCCCUUCGGGGUGGAAAGAUCUGUCAGUGGGGACGAAACUUGACGGUACUCACAGAGGAAGCACCGGCUAACUCCGUGCCAGCAGCCGCGGUAAUACGGGGGGUGCAAGCGUUGUCCGGAAUCAUUGGGCGUAACGAGUUCGUAGGCGGCACGUAAAGUCUGGUGUUAAAGGCAGAGGCUCAACUUCUGUACGGCACGGGAUACUUGCGAGCUAGAAUGCGGUAGAGGUGAAGGGAAUUCCGGGUGUAGCGGUGAAAUGCUUAGAUAUCAGGAGGAACAGCGGUGGCGUAAGCGCUUUACUGGGCCGUAAUUGACGCUGAGGAACGAAAGCCAGGGUAGCAAAUGGGAUUAGAUACCCCAGUAGUC
Molecule: ribosomal RNA, 440 nt
Filed under: uncultured bacterium
Lineage: Bacteria
Description: partial 16S ribosomal RNA
Rfam family: Bacterial small subunit ribosomal RNA
Source: RNAcentral